GCAUAUGACUACUGGCAGGAUCAACCAGGUAGCAUUCCUAACCGACACCAGAAACACUAGAUCUGAGCCGCGAGGACUAAAUCGACGUGCCCCUGGAAGUCGUUCGCAUACAGCGUCGAACACUAAGUUGUGGGAGAAACAAGGUCAAAGACCCAGCACCCGCUCAAUGUUCCGUACCCGAGAGACCACGCGCAGCAUCGAGYGCCAGCAUCRUAAAAACACGCGAGUGCAACUACGAAGUGGGACGCGACGUGCGCUUCGAAGUCCGAUCAGCCCUGCAUCCCGAAURGAYGCAACACUGAUCGGAUGCCCAACAAUUCCGACAAACGAAUACCCUGAACGUAGGAAUUCAACACAGGAAACCGAAAUGGGGCCGAUGCCCUGCCCAACCCAACAACUGAAGAGGUUCGAACGGCACGYCGUCGCUGCUCGAGCGGGGAUCCAACRAUCCGUUACAAACCAAACACCACUCA
Molecule: unclassified non-coding RNA, 473 nt
Filed under: Melampyrum nemorosum
Lineage: Eukaryota; Viridiplantae; Streptophyta; Magnoliopsida; Lamiales; Orobanchaceae
Description: partial external transcribed spacer
Source: RNAcentral